GCAGCUCUGAAGCUGGGCCAGGGAAGGAGCAAGUUCUCUUUGCUUCUUGUGGGAGGAAGUGUCACUGGGACCUCGAGAGGAGGAGUUGCUGGAGGAGGAGGCAGGGGUGGUGCCGACCAAGGAGGGGCCCAGGAGCCUUGUGGGGGUCAGUGAAGUGAGGGCUGUUCGGGGUGGGCCAUCCUGGAGCCUGGCAGCCACAGGAGAAUCAGAUGUGAACUUGCGGACGCGGUCUCUCACGGAGCCAGCCCGUUGGAACUGGGACGGUCCUGGAAGAGACAAGAAGGCUGUCGGUGGCUGGGUGGGAUAGGGACUGCCCAGAACCUGGGGAUGCCUCCUCACCACGGUCAGCACACUCACUGCCGAGGCCUGUCUAUUCAGCUCUCUUGGAGGCUCCUCCUUUCUCUCCUGCACUGACCCCCAGGAUGACGUGGACACUCUUAGGAGCCAGGGGUAAGUUUGGGCCAGAGGAAGGUAUCCAGAUUCUCCUUACUGAUGAGACUAGGGGACAGCCCCCCCCCACCCCCCAGCCAGUACUGCCCAUAGAUCCAGCUGGGUGAUGGGUGCACUCCCUUAUUGGGGAGAAGAAUGUGCCUGAGGCCCGUUGCCUUUCAAGGCUGUAAGGAGGCCUCUGGCCAUGGGUGGCAGGGGCGGGAAUACCUCAGGGGCAGUGGUGGGGAAUGUCAGGGAUUGCCUGAACCCAAGAAAGCUAGAGCUGCUGAAGCGGCAGAAGCCAUCCUCCAGGCAGGGAAAGGGGAGCAGGAGCAGGGGCAAGCAGACGCCUGUAGCAACCUGUACAGGGAUCCUCACCUGUUCUCUUAGUGCUGGAGGAGCCUCUGGCGGGGCCCAAGGUGCUAGAGGGCUCUGUGGGGCCAGGCAGGGGCUGCAAGGGAGACACCACAUAGGAGGGGGCUCUCAGACCAAGGAACCCACCUGCCUGGCAUCCCUGCCCCUCACCAAACUCACCUUGCUGAUGACCUGCCCCUGAGAGCUGGGGGGUGCUGGUGACAUGGGGGGCUCAGGGCUGGGAGUUCUCGAAGGACGAGGCAGCGACUCAGAGCCGUCUAGAGCCUCAGCAGCAGGGCACUGGGCUCCGGCGGGUUCUAGCAGAGGCUCGGGAGAAGCAGUGGUGGGUGAACCGUCAGGCGAGGCAGGUGGUGAGCUGGGCAUGCCCCCAGGCGGGGCCCUCAGCAGGAGUGUCACCGUGGUCACAUCCUGGCUGGUGUCCUCAGGGGUGGGGGCUGGGGUUGGGGUUGGCUCUGGCGCUGCUGUCUGCUGUUUCUCUUGCUCUUGCUCUGGUACCUGCAGCGGACCCACAGGAUGCAACCAAGGUUUCUCUGACUCCGAGCGCUACCCCCACCCGUGGAGCUGACAGAGCAGGCCAUGCAAAGCAGAGAGGCUGGGCACGGCUUCCUGUGGGCACACCUGCAUAAGGAAGGCUAGUCAGUGCCAAAGGUGGUUUGACAACCACCAGAUCCUAAUUUAAUGGUUGGUGCUAGCAGGAGACUGGCUGGGGACUCCUGUUCCUAAAGGACCUCUAGACCAGAGCUCUGGACUCAGCCUGGCUAGUCAGGGAGAAGUCGAGUUGUGCAGAACUGGCCAGCUAGCAUCCCCUGCUGGCCAUUAGUGGCAACCGUAUGUCUUGACUUCUCUCCCACACUACCUCAAGAAUAGAGAUGACACAGAGCACCGCUCAGCAGGGGCCUGACGUCAGGCCCUGGUGAGUGUGGUCAACUCCUCCACGUCAUUCAUGGACUCCAGCUUCCCUGCCAACCGUGUGAGGGCAGCCUGCUGCUCAGCUUCCCGCUGUUGAGAGCUGCAGAGACAUCAUGAGCCUAAUUACCAUCGCAUGACAGGGGCCAGAGGAUGUGAGCCCAAGGAAAGGGUCAGGGUCAGAGGCCUGAACCUUGACAGAGAGACACGGAGCUGUCUGGGCAGAACCUCUGAGCAAACAAACAUCGAUAUCUAUACAUCUGUGGACACAGGCACGAAUGCCACAUGCUACCCACACUGUACAGCCACAGUUGGCACUUGGUCCAGACCCACAAAUAUCCUGUGCACGCCAAUGCUCACAGGCUGUGGACACACCUGUCUCCACAUGAGCGGAUCCCUGGCACACUUGCACUUGCAAACCCCGCCCCCUCUGCCACUCACUGUAGCCAGUUCUCCUUGUUGUCCUGCCGCUCGGCACGGAAACGUUUGGAUGCCAGAGCCCCCUCUUCCCGUUCCAGCUCCUGCCGCUGCAGCUCCCGGAUGGCGGAGCGGAUCCGCCGCCGCUCUGCCAAGUCUGCUGUGACCUCCAGCUGCAAUGCAGGUGGGAAUGAGGGGUAGGGCAUUCUGUCAGGGGCAGAGGACUGGCACCAGCUGCCCACAGUUCUGCCUGGGGCACAAUGAGAGGCUUGUCUCCAGUCUCUCUACCCUAAGCCUUCCACGUGCCUGCCUCCCACUCAAGAUCUUUAGGAGAGACCUAGCUCAUGACGCCAAAGAUCCCGAGGAGCCCACUGUGCACUGUGGUACACAGACCACCUUCUGUGAGUGCAGAGCCAGCAACCACCCACCCAAGCCAAGCGCCAAGCAGUCAGGCACUCCUUUAUGUGACUCGACACCCGCUCUCCUGAGUCUUUCGUUAGCCUUUUAGACCCGGGAGCCACAGCAGGAAGAGUGUGGUCACCCUUCUGAGCUACCAACAAGGUCCCUGGAAAGGGAAGGGUGAUUCAGGUAGCUGAAGUCCCCUGGUGAUCUAGUCCCAGAGUAGUAGGGCCCUGCUGGGAAAGAUGUUAGGUAGGAAAACUGAGGC
Long non-coding RNA from Peromyscus eremicus (cactus mouse), 2794 nucleotides. RefSeq lists it as uncharacterized. NCBI's taxonomy places the organism in Eukaryota, Metazoa, Chordata, Mammalia, Rodentia, Cricetidae. The transcript has 3 exons. The record is from RefSeq and is a predicted model, not a curated record.